This 277-nucleotide long non-coding RNA is filed under the name Manihot esculenta (cassava). Its description in RNAcentral is "long non-coding RNA (MESC_LNC010521)". The record is from RNAcentral. Lineage: Eukaryota; Viridiplantae; Streptophyta; Magnoliopsida; Malpighiales; Euphorbiaceae.
UCCAUUGAUGUCGAACGAGUCAAUUUUGGGAUUCUCAGUGGCAGCCUUGGGUUUCUUUUCCAUUAUCUGAAGUUCUUAAAAAUCUCUUCCAAAAAAAAGAAAUGGGAAUGAGCUUCAAUUAAGCUGUUAAUAGCACAAAAAGCUAUCGAUGGAGGAAUGCAAUAACAAGGAGAACUAAGCAGAGAAAAUUUACACUCGAUCCACACGAAAUGAGAAGAAACCGGAAUCGCCUAUUCGCAAACCUGUAUCAGCCAAGAGACCAAAGGAAGAAGGUUUC